This is a long non-coding RNA of Salvia splendens (bonfire salvia), 1625 nucleotides long. RefSeq lists it as uncharacterized. The transcript is spliced from 2 exons. The record is from RefSeq and is a predicted model, not a curated record. NCBI's taxonomy places the organism in Eukaryota, Viridiplantae, Streptophyta, Magnoliopsida, Lamiales, Lamiaceae.
ACCUACUGGAAUGAAGUAAAAACCUACUGGAAUGAAGUUAAUCUUAAAUUUCGAGAGGUAAGCGGAAUUAACCCCUUAUUCCGAAAUUUCUCCAUUUCCAACAUUCCCAAUUUGGGGAAAAAAUCGAAUCCCUAAUCAGAAGUGCAUCGUUCCCCUCAUCUUCUACAUUCGGCGCAUCACUCCGGGCAGCAGCCUUGCGCCGCCGUCGUCUUCCCCCUCGGCGUCUCGCGUCACCGGAGACCCUCUCUUCCUCUCGGCUGCAACUCCGGGUAGCCGCCUUCGUGACCGCCCUUACUACUCCGACAACUCGCAGCACCGCUACCGCCGUCAUGCACAGGCGGCGGUUUCUCCGCUGCCGCCUCUCUGCGCUUGGCGUCGCACCGAUGCCGCCGUUUCACAGCCGGAGCCGCCGCUGCCUCGAAGGCAGCUCACAGCCUCUGCCGACGCCAUCCGCUCCUCUGUCGGCUAAGCUCGGGGCCUCCCGACACCCCACCCAUUUCCUAAGCUAAGUUCCUCUUCCUAGAAUUCCAGUUCUUGAUUCAAGGUGUUUACUUUAGAAAUUUUUGUGUUUUAGGCUUGGCCGAAUCUGAGUUAGGAGGAACACGCACUAUCCUAAACCCUUUUUAUCAUUUAGAAAUUGAGGUGUUGUUAUUAAGGGGUCUAAAGCUGGAAAGGGAUUAACAUUUUGUUCUUCUGUUCCAUUUCGUACAAGAGCAUACUUGAGCCUUGAGCUACUGUUAUUCCCUUUCUAUCAUUCUACCAUGCUAUGAUUUUGUUGAAGUGUUGGUGCUUUAGCAUGCUUGAGGUUUGGUUGCUAAACGAUGGCAUGGCAUUUAAAUUGGAUUCGAAAAGGAGGCGGAGGUUACCUUUUUGAACGGUAGAUGCUGCUCCUUGAGUUUCCUGUUUCUAGACUCUAAGUUCGCCCACCCACUUCGAAGCUCCUAUUUGCAAUGAAAGGGAAAAGGGUGGUUUGAGUUCUUAGUAUGAAAGGAAAGGUGGGGAGGGAGAGGAAACAAAGCCUUAUUUACAGAAGGUAGUGGCUGCUGUAAGAAGCCUGCAGAAAACUCUACUCCAAGCGCUCUCUCUCACUCUCAAUCUUGCUAUCUGAGACUGAAGUUUCAAAAUGUGUGGAAGGGAUGUGGAGGGGUUUUUAUAGGAGGAUUUUGGUGUACUUUGAUGAAUUAAAUGGCUGAUAUGGUAUUUUGUAGCAUAUCUCUCAAUUUGAUUCACUUUGUAACACUUGUAUUUGGUGUUAUUUGGUAGUACUUGAUACUUGGCUAUUACUCCAAUUUGUUUGCUCAUUGCAGGGCAUUGACCUUCCUUUCUUGAACAAGACAUGGGCUGCCCGCUGCCAUCCGCGGUACGGGCUCACUGCCCUGGGCCCAACGGCUGCCUCGGAUACGGCCCGCAAUGGGAGCGAUUUGGGCUUGGGGAGAAAUGAUGCCCAAAAGCAUAUUUUGUAUUCUUAAACUCCAUCUCGUCAAUUCGUGUGCAAAAAUUUGUAUCUAGCUAGUAGUUGAUAUGUAUUUAAAAGGAUAUUCGAACAUCUUCGUUCGGAAAGGCAAGUUCAUAUUCUUGUACAACGCUCCUUUUAUUUCAUAACGUAUAUUAGAUUGUUUAGUUCA